CACACACACACAGCAGUGUGUGUAUGUGUGUAUAUAUGUGUAUGUGUGUAUAUAUAUAUAUAUAUAUGUAUAUAUAUAUAUACAUAUAUAUAUAUAUACAUACAUAUAUAUAUACGCGGCGUGUGCUUG
Molecule: non-coding RNA, 129 nt
Organism: Pelobates cultripes (western spadefoot toad)
Lineage: Eukaryota; Metazoa; Chordata; Amphibia; Anura; Pelobatidae
Source: the annotation of a GenBank genome assembly